RNAcentral lists this long non-coding RNA (544 nucleotides) under Phoenix dactylifera (date palm). RNAcentral's name for it is "long non-coding RNA (PDAC_LNC001603)". The record is from RNAcentral. Lineage: Eukaryota; Viridiplantae; Streptophyta; Magnoliopsida; Arecales; Arecaceae.
AAAAUACAAAUGGGCAGCUAUUUUUACGGGGCUUGUUUUUUAGUCCUCUGCUACAAGAUAGAGAAUGGCAAGUAAGAUUCUCAUGGAGAAUGGCAAGUAAUGGAACCCCAUUUGCACUGUUGUCGUAGCCAACUGUCGCCAAAAGCAAGGUAAAAAUGCAGCAACUUUUGAUUGGUCUCUCUCCUUUCAGAGUCCUUAGAAGCUUUGAUUUUGGCCGAUGAUUGCCAGACUUUUGUCAAGAACCGAAUGCUGGUCAGGAACUGUUGCAUUGAUUAGCCAGGGUUUUUAAGACAUUAUCUUGUAUAUUUGCCGGGGAAGUCUGUUGCAUGGACUCCUGCAUAGUGUAAAUUGAAAAGUUGGAUGCUGGUCAGGGACCAUUCAGGAGAGCCCAGUAUGAAUGCAUUCAAAUAAUUCUAAAUAAAUCUUCACAUUAUAUGUGAAGAUUCUAAUCCACCACUAUAAACUCUAAUGUCAUAGACUACUAACCUACCUAAAUAAGAAAUGAAAACCUUAAGCCCUUAUAAUAAUUUCUACCGCAUCAAAC